AGUGAACGCUGGCGGCAGGCCUAACACAUGCAAGUCGAACGGCAGCACAGUAAGAGCUCGCUCUUACGGGUGGCGAGUGAUGGACGGGUGAGGAAUACAUCGGAAUCUACUUUUUCGUGGGGGAUCACGUAGGGAAACUUACGCUAAUACCGCAUACGACCUACGGGUGAAAGCAGGGCAUCUUCGGACCUUGCGCGAUUGAAUGAGCCGAUUUCGGAUUAGCUAGUUGGCGGGGUAAAGGCCCACCAAGGCGACGAUCCGUAGCUGGUCUGAGAGGAUGAUCAGCCACACUGGAACUGAGACACGGCCCAGACUCCUACGGGAGGCAGCAGUGGGGAAUAUUGGACAAUGGGCGCAAGCCUGAUCCAGCCAUACCGCGUGGGUGAAGAAGGCCUUCGGGUUGUAAAGCGCUUUUGUUAGGAAAGAAAAGCAGCUGGUUAAUACCCCGCUGUUCUGACGGUACCUGAAGAAUAAGCACCGGCUAACUUCGUG
This 492-nucleotide ribosomal RNA is filed under the name uncultured bacterium. RNAcentral describes it as "partial 16S ribosomal RNA". It matches the Rfam family "Bacterial small subunit ribosomal RNA", at positions 29 to 507 of the family's 1533-position model. The record is from RNAcentral.